AUCUGGAGAGACCUCGCACAGAGCAAAAUAUUAGACAUGAAAGGAUAGCAUUUUGUUUAAGAUAAGCUAGGUGUUGCUGAUGGACUCCCUGGAGCUUCACAAAGCAUUGGCCAUGCAAACGGCCAGAUUCCUGGUUUGGUGGGUUGAGGCACAGAGUAAUAAAUUGCAUAAUGGUUUGCUGCUUAACUCUGCACAAAAGAGGUUUGCGACCGGCUCACAGACUUACAGCAGAUCAAGAUGA
This 241-nucleotide long non-coding RNA is filed under the name Numida meleagris (helmeted guineafowl). RNAcentral describes it as "lncRNA (ENSNMEG00000019472.1)". The record is from RNAcentral. Lineage: Eukaryota; Metazoa; Chordata; Aves; Galliformes; Numididae.